GAUGAACGCUGGCGGCGUGCCUAAUACAUGCAAGUCGAGCGAACAGACGAGGAGCUUGCUCCUCUGACGUUAGCGGCGGACGGGUGAGUAACACGUGGAUAACCUACCUAUAAGACUGGGAUAACUUCGGGAAACCGGAGCUAAUACCGGAUAAUAUAUUGAACCGCAUGGUUCAAUAGUGAAAGACGGUUUUGCUGUCACUUAUAGAUGGAUCCGCGCCGCAUUAGCUAGUUGGUAAGGUAACGGCUUACCAAGGCAACGAUUCGUAGCCGACCUGAGAGGGUGAUCGGCCACACUGGAACUGAGACACGGUACAGACUCCUACGGGAGGCAGCAGUAGGGAAUCUUCCGCAAUGGGCGAAAGCCUGACGGAGCAACGCCGCGUGAGUGAUGAAGGUCUUCGGAUCGUAAAACUCUGUUAUUAGGGAAGAACAAAUGUGUAAGUAACUAUGCACGUCUUGACGGUACCUAAUCAGAAAGCCACGGCUAACUACGUG
This 497-nucleotide ribosomal RNA is filed under the name uncultured bacterium. Its description in RNAcentral is "partial 16S ribosomal RNA". It matches the Rfam family "Bacterial small subunit ribosomal RNA", at positions 28 to 507 of the family's 1533-position model. The record is from RNAcentral.